Molecule: ribosomal RNA, 490 nt
Filed under: uncultured bacterium
Lineage: Bacteria
Description: partial 16S ribosomal RNA
Rfam family: Bacterial small subunit ribosomal RNA
Source: RNAcentral
AUUGAACGCUGGCGGCAGGCCUAACACAUGCAAGUCGAAUGGUAACAGGAAACAGCUUGCUGUUUCGCUGACGAGUGGCGGACGGGUGAGUAAUGUCUGGGAAACUGCCUGGUGGAGGGGGAAAACUACUGGAAACGGUAUCUAAUACCGCAUAACGUCGCAAGACCAAAGAGGGGGACCUUCGGGCCUCUUGCCCUCAGAUGUGCCCAGAUGGGAUUAGCUAGUAGGUGGGGUAACGGCUCACCUAGGCGACGAUCCCUAGCUGGUCUGAGAGGAUGACCAGCCACACUGGAACUGAGACACGGUCCAGACUCCUACGGGAGGCAGCAGUGGGGAAUAUUGCACAAUGGGCGCAAGCCGGAUGCAGCCAUGCCGCGUGGAUGAAGAAGGCCUUCGGGUUGUAAAGUACUUUCAGCGGGGAGGAAGGGAGUAAAGUGAAUACCUUUGCGCAUUGACGUUACCCGCAGAAGAAGCAACGGCUAACUCCGUG